RNAcentral lists this ribosomal RNA (682 nucleotides) under uncultured Pseudomonadota bacterium. RNAcentral describes it as "bacterial SSU rRNA". It matches the Rfam family "Bacterial small subunit ribosomal RNA", at positions 70 to 745 of the family's 1533-position model. The record is from RNAcentral. Lineage: Bacteria; Pseudomonadati; Pseudomonadota.
AGGAAGAAGCUUGCUUCUUUGCUGACGAGUGGCGGACGGGUGAGUAAUGUCUGGGAAACUGCCUGAUGGAGGGGGAUAACUACUGGAAACGGUAGCUAAUACCGCAUAACGUCGCAAGACCAAAGAGGGGGACCUUCGGGCCUCUUGCCAUCGGAUGUGCCCAGAUGGGAUUAGCUAGUAGGUGGGGUAACGGCUCACCUAGGCGACGAUCCCUAGCUGGUCUGAGAGGAUGACCAGCCACACUGGAACUGAGACACGGUCCAGACUCCUACGGGAGGCAGCAGUGGGGAAUAUUGCACAAUGGGCGCAAGCCUGAUGCAGCCAUGCCGCGUGUAUGAAGAAGGCCUUCGGGUUGUAAAGUACUUUCAGCGGGGAGGAAGGGAGUAAAGUUAAUACCUUUGCUCAUUGACGUUACCCGCAGAAGAAGCACCGGCUAACUCCGUGCCAGCAGCCGCGGUAAUACGGAGGGUGCAAGCGUUAAUCGGAAUUACUGGGCGUAAAGCGCACGCAGGCGGUUUGUUAAGUCAGAUGUGAAAUCCCCGGGCUCAACCUGGGAACUGCAUCUGAUACUGGCAAGCUUGAGUCUCGUAGAGGGGGGUAGAAUUCCAGGUGUAGCGGUGAAAUGCGUAGAGAUCUGGAGGAAUACCGGUGGCGAAAGCGGCCCCCUGGACGAAGACUGACG